Molecule: long non-coding RNA, 1050 nt
Filed under: Eucalyptus grandis
Lineage: Eukaryota; Viridiplantae; Streptophyta; Magnoliopsida; Myrtales; Myrtaceae
Description: long non-coding RNA (EGRA_LNC000053)
Source: RNAcentral
UCACUCCCCCAUCUCUCCAUUUUCCUCGCACGAAGCCAAGAGCAGAGAAGCCGCGCCUGCACACCCAUCUCCGCACACCCGAACUCCAAACUCGUUCGGUCCAUCUUCUUGCCGUGAAGUCGCAAGAUCCACCGAAGCUGCUCCAUCUCCACGCUGCCACUUGCCCGCUUCUCCUUCUGCUUCGGUCAACAAACGAACCAGCGAAGCCAUGGAUUGACCGCUGGAAGCCCACGACUCCACCGAGUUUGGUCGGCCACUCACGCCACACCAACCGAGAAGCCGCGGGAACGGAGGCAGUCAACCACGCCAUCCACCGAAGACCAAUACUCCCUCGCAUUGCCAGGCGUCCUCCAGCGUCCACGAGCAGUCCAUGAUUCCUCCGUUAGUUGACUCUGUCGGCUACUUGUCCGCGUGAGUCUCCUCAACGCCACGAAGACAGAAGCUAGAGAAGCCCACGUUUUACCGAGCCUUCGUUGCGUCCGCAACACCAACGCCACACGUCCGAAUCUCCUCCAGCGGCAGCGUGCCUGCACUGAUUUUAUUUUGGUCGGACAUCUCCACGGUUCUUCGUCCGUCCAUCCGCGUGAGCAGCAACCCACCGAAGAAGAAGAGAUCUCUACGCGUCCGCUCCUUCCAAUUCUGAGUCAACCGAGCAAACCCCCCCUGCAACUCAUCACCCUCCAGCGAAGACCGAAGCAGCCCACGCAAAUCUCUUCUUGGAUUGCGGCCCAACUCUACAGCCCAGCGAAGCCAAAAAUCUUCGGUCCAUCUUCAGCAGCAUCAGCCCAGCAAAUUUGGCUUAUUUCAGCCCAAAGAGAGCAGCCCAUUUUCAGUUUAAUUUCAAUUGGGCCAGCAAUUUCAGUCUUCAAGCCCGCAGGAUUGAGGCCCAAUUUCAGUCCUCAAUUUGAAGACCAAGUUAGUUCAGCCCAGAAAUUCAGCAGGUCCAGCCCAUUCCAGUGCAAGAACAAAUCUCAAUUGGGCUGAGAUUUGUUGGGCCAAGCUUAAGGCCCGGUUCAAGUCUGCCGGUGUUGUCGAAAGUCCAAUUUCGGC